GCGGGGGUAUCAAAGCCUGGUCAAAUGAGCAGGACUUAAGAUCCUGUCCCUUAGUGGGUUCGCGUGUUCAAAUCACGUCCCCCGCA
RNAcentral lists this transfer RNA (86 nucleotides) under Candidatus Woesearchaeota archaeon CG07_land_8_20_14_0_80_44_23. RNAcentral's name for it is "tRNA-Leu". It matches the Rfam family "tRNA". Rfam says of the family: Transfer RNA (tRNA) molecules are approximately 80 nucleotides in length. Their secondary structure includes four short double-helical elements and three loops (D, anti-codon, and T loops). RNAcentral also lists the same sequence under 2 other names. Lineage: Archaea; Nanobdellati; Candidatus Woesearchaeota. The record is from RNAcentral.